GAUGAAGAACGUAGCGAAACGCGAUAUGUAAUGUGAAUUGCAGAAUUCAGUGAAUCAUCGAAUCUUUGAACGCACAUUGCGCCCCUUGGUAUUCCAUGGGGCAUGCCUGUUCGAGCGUCAUUUGUACCUUCAAGCUUUGCUUGGUGUUGGGUGUUUGUCUCGCCUUUGCGUGUAGACUCGCCUUAAAAUAAUUGGCAGCCGGCGUAUUGAUUUCGGAGCGCAGUACAUCUCGCGCUUUGCACUCAUAACGACAGCGUCCAAAAGUACAUUUUACACUCUUGACCUCGGAUCAGGUAGGGAUACCCGCUGAACUUAAGCAUAUCAAUAAGCGGAGGA
This 336-nucleotide unclassified non-coding RNA is filed under the name soil metagenome. RNAcentral describes it as "partial contains 5.8S ribosomal RNA, internal transcribed spacer 2, and large subunit ribosomal RNA". The stretch from base 1 to 120 matches the Rfam family "5.8S ribosomal RNA", at positions 35 to 154 of the family's 154-position model. The record is from RNAcentral.